UGCGCCCGCCGGCGGCUAGGGCUGCUGCCGCCACUCCUGCAGUGCCCCCACUGGGGGCGCCAGCCUCGCCCCCGAUGGCUCGGCCAGGCGCGAGCCUGCAGGCUCCAAAGCUUGCAGAAAUGGCUGUGGUUCAAAGCUCAGGAGAGCAGACUCCAUAGAGGAAAGCGGGCCCACAAUGGGAGAAGAGGCGCUUUCUGCGGUGCAUGUCUAGCCUCCUGGCUGGAGACAUAGGUCAUCUUCAAAGGCUGCAUGCAACUGUACUGAGGCCCACAUGAAAACAGAAACAGCAAUAACAAAACAACAGCAACACCAACAACAAAAACCUGCAGAUUCGAAGAACCAAACAUUAUGCCAGAAAAGACCUUUUUCCCCCCAAAAUAACACCCAUAAAUUUGGGUUUUUAGAUCAUAGACAUAACUUGUUGAGUACCACCAUUAAUUUCAGAACAGUUUACACAGCUUUAGGAAUUUCUUUAAAAAUAUAGAAACAAAAUCCUGGGACUUAGAGUUAGGGGUUGUAUUCAGGAUUCUGAUGGAACAGCCAGCUAUUCAAAGGCUCGAGCUUAUCCUAGGAUUUAUGUAACUGAAGACAUAUCCACAAUGGCCUUUCUGAAACACAAGCCAGAAUCCCUCCCAUCCCAGUGUAAAAAGCCCUGAGUACUGGGUCUUUCUUUGCCCCUCCCUGACAUUCCACUUGGGCUCUUUACUUCUUUGAGUCCACAAACUCAUCUCUUGCUUCUUGUACUCUGCACUCACCCCUCUCUCCAUUUCUAGUGUUCUUCCUUGCCCUCCUUCAUUGAAAUCUUAUAUAUUUCUGGUAACUGCUUCUCCUUGAACCUGGGCUGCAUUUGAUGGACUCUCAUUCAUUCAGAGUGUGACUGUGAUUGCCUGGGUACUUUCUUGUCUCCAUCUAGAUUGUGAGUUGAUUGAUAGCUGGAUCUCAGACCUCUCUCUCCAAGUGCAGACUGGACCUAACACAUACUAGGAAUUCAAUAUAUAUUUACUGCUAAAUGAGAACAAGUGGUCCUAACUUUCACAUGUCAUUUCUCUGCACUUUUGGGGUCACUACCAAAUUUCUUAGUAUGUUAAUUGCAAUGAAAAUUCUGUUGAAAGACAAAAAGCCCAUGGUGAUUCCAACUGCACUAUAUUAAAAACAUUUUUCCUCCUUAAAAAUGGGUGUUAUAUCUAUCUCAUUUGGAUGAAAUGUCUGUAAAACACAUUUUCAGAUUUCAUCUCACAUGUCAGUCAAACAAGUUAGGCCAGGGCACACAUUAAUAUCUUCAUUUUGUAGCUGACAACACAGACCUAGUUAGAUCAACUGACUUGCCCAAAGUCACCCUUGCAAAUGCUCAGAGGUAAAGCAAACACCAUCUGACUCAAAACCAACAGAAUCUGGACUACUCCAGUUUAGAUCUCAAAUUGUCUAUUGCAAAUCUACUUAGGAGUAUGAGGCUAAGGGGUCAGCUGAUCUGGGCUGAGCAUGGAAUAUGCAGUAGCAGAGACCUAACAACUUAAAGUAGAACUGAUGCUCCUGUACCUAACUGACACACCACCUUUCCUUCUGAAAGAGCCCAAGUGACAAGAAUAAAGCAAAUCACC
Molecule: long non-coding RNA, 1598 nt
Filed under: Mus caroli (Ryukyu mouse)
Lineage: Eukaryota; Metazoa; Chordata; Mammalia; Rodentia; Muridae
Description: predicted gene 5432 (MGP_CAROLIEiJ_G0004853.1)
Source: RNAcentral